This 423-nucleotide ribosomal RNA is filed under the name uncultured bacterium. Its description in RNAcentral is "bacterial SSU rRNA". It matches the Rfam family "Bacterial small subunit ribosomal RNA", at positions 358 to 773 of the family's 1533-position model. The record is from RNAcentral.
AGAAUAAUUCACAAUGGGGGCAACCCUGAUGGUGCAACGCCGCGUGGCGGAUGACGGUCUUCGGAUUGUAAACUCCUGUCAUCGGGGAGUAAGACCUGGCCGUUAAUAGCGGACAGGGUUGCUAGUACCCGAAGAGGAAGGGACGGCUCACUUCGUGCCAGCAGCCGCGGUACUACGAAGGUCCCGAGCGUUGUUCGGAAUCACUGAGCGUAAAGGGCGCGUAGGCGGCGCGGUAAGUCAGAUGUGAAAUCCCGGGGCUCAACCCCGGAACUGCAUCCGAUACUGCCGUGCUAGAGGAUUGGAGAGGUAGCUGGAAUUCUUGGUGUAGCCGUGAAAUGCGUGGAGAUCAAGAGGAACACUCGUGGCGAAAGCGAGCUACUGGACAAUAUCUGACGCUGAGGCUCGAAGGCCAGGGUAGCGAAA